The sequence is a regulatory RNA element, 90 nucleotides long. It matches the Rfam family "pan motif". The record is from Rfam.
AGGGUAGUAUCGACAGAACUUCACCUGAUACUCUUUUUAUAAUUUAUCGUUUACGAACUGCCUUGAUCUAAAAAAGACUAGGACAGAGGG